RNAcentral lists this ribosomal RNA (492 nucleotides) under uncultured bacterium. RNAcentral describes it as "partial 16S ribosomal RNA". It matches the Rfam family "Bacterial small subunit ribosomal RNA", at positions 30 to 507 of the family's 1533-position model. The record is from RNAcentral.
AGUGAACGCUGGCGGUAUGCCUAACACAUGCAAGUCGAACGGCAGCACAGUAAGAGCUUGCUCUUACGGGUGGCGAGUGGCGGACGGGUGAGGUAUACAUCGGAAUCUACUUUUUCGUGGGGGAUAACGUAGGGGAACUUACGCUAAUACCGCAUACGACCUACGGGUGAAAGCAGGGGAUCUUCGGACCUUGCGCGAUUGAAUGAGCCGGUUUCGGAUUAGCUAGUUGGCGGGGGAAAGGCCCACCACGGCGACGAUCCGUAGCUGGGUUGGGAAGAAGGCACGGCCAACCGGGACUGGGACAAGGGCCAAACUCCUAAGGGAGGGCGCAGGGGGGAAUUUUGGAAAAAGGGGGGAAGCCUUAACCAGCAAUGCCGCGGGGGGGAAAGAGGCCUUCGGGGUGUAAAGCACUUUUUUUUGGAAAAAAAAACUUGGAGGUAAAACAGUCGGGGGAUGACGGUACCGGAAGAAAAAGCACCGGCUAACUACGUG